UGAAUAUCCAUCAAGAUAUCUUAUGAGAGUUUUUCAAUCUAUUUUCAGUUUCUAAUUGUCAAUAAAGCUAACAACUUUCACUGAUUCUGCAGGAGCCUUAAUAUUUGACCCUUAAGUACUAUAAUAUUUAUCAUAAUGUCAAUUGUUAAUCUAGUGUCCUGCACUGGUUUGUGCACCAAAAAACAAAUGCAUGGUCAUUGAUGAGCAUUAGGCAAUUAUGAAGAUGUUGCAUUCAACUUCUAGUCACC
RNAcentral lists this unclassified non-coding RNA (248 nucleotides) under Hevea brasiliensis (rubber tree). The record is from RNAcentral. Lineage: Eukaryota; Viridiplantae; Streptophyta; Magnoliopsida; Malpighiales; Euphorbiaceae.